CUCAGUUCAGGCUAAGGUUCUAUUCGGUGUGGGCUGAAAUGCCAUUAUUUUCAUGGUUACUGGUGGUGGUGAGUGAGUGUUGCUCCCAGGGGCAUGUCUUGGCCUCUGUCCUGAUUUUCCAGAGGUUCCCCUUCCUACAAUGUCCCUGGUUCCUGCCAUGCUUUCACCACCUCUCGGCCCUCUGUAAAGCAGCCCUCUAUAAAACAGACCAAGAGGUCUCCUGUUCCCAUAAAUUUUAAUGAGAGGUUGUUCUCACUGCAGGUAAGACUGUUGGUGGGGGAUUAUCUGACCCCUGGGUGUGGUCUGUG
This is a non-coding RNA of Pelobates cultripes (western spadefoot toad), 308 nucleotides long. The record is from the annotation of a GenBank genome assembly. Lineage: Eukaryota; Metazoa; Chordata; Amphibia; Anura; Pelobatidae.